Magallana angulata is the source of this 8428-nucleotide RNA transcript. It is a transcript of the gene named doublecortin domain-containing protein 2-like, with no coding region annotated. The transcript has 17 exons. Lineage: Eukaryota; Metazoa; Mollusca; Bivalvia; Ostreida; Ostreidae. The record is from RefSeq and is a predicted model, not a curated record.
GUAAACAUGAAUAAACACGGAUAGGUGUAUAAUCUAACCUGGCUUAAAUGCCUUAUAUAGCGGUCGGAUACCUAUCUUGACUUUAUAUGCAAUACAUUCAUUGCUAACCAAGGUAAAAAGAGAAGGGAAGUCUUUAUAUGGAAGAGUAGAUUCCACACAAAAAUCUCUUUGUUGUCUUUGGCUGUAUGAUUCCUAUUGACGGUUGUUUUUAACGUGUUUGGGUGACAAAGCUGUCAAAACACGAGUCGUUAUUGCGUUAAUACUCGGAAUUUACUGUGUACUCCAACCAUAUUCCACCCGAUAGUUUUUAUUCACGAUUUGGACUUAUUUUCUCCAAGAAGCUAAAACAAAAUCGAUCUUUGGCGUUUCUUGGCCAUGCUGGGAAUUCUACUAGAAUCGCGGGAUUUACCUAUGCCGUGGUUUUAGUCUGGAUUUGAUUGACAAACAAGAAGGACCUUGUUUACAUCAUAGGUUUGCUUAGAUACGCGACAUCCAAGGCUUUAUUACAAGAAUGGUCUAACUAGCGGUAUACCGGAGUGUAAUUAUUGACAUUUUCAUUUGGAACUUUGUUGAGGACCAUCACCAAAGAGCGCGCACUUGUCCGAGGCUUUUAAAUGAAUUAAGAAACAUCUUUGCACUAGGACUCAUUGUUCAGAGGAAUUUUUUUUCGUGGACGUGUGUGAAAACGCUGUAAAAAAGGAGCUCAGAAAGAUAACAAAAAAAUACGUAUACAUUGAUAUUUGUGUAUACUGUUGGCUGGUAUUCUGCCAGAAAAGAUGAUGGAAAACCAUGCAUACAGAGACCCAGAACUUCCACAUUAUAUGAGAGGUGCUGGUAAAGGUUUCACAACGCAUUUCUACAUCAAUGGCGACGAGCAUUACCAAAGUAAAUCAUUGCUAGUCAACCCCAAACGCUACAGAAACUUUGACACGUUUCUAGAUGAUGCCACGAAGUCUCUGAACCCCCGUUUCGGUGCAAUUAGGAACGUUUACACUCCUUUAGGGAAGCACAAGAUUACCAAUUUCGAUGAUUUGAGAGAAGAUGGGCAGUACGUAGCAGCCGGGGUGGAGAGAUACAAGAAAAUCGGCAAACCAUACACAGCCAUAGAAAGCCAUAGUCCAAGACCCUCCAAAAUAAAUAAAUCCAAUUUUAAUAGUAGAAUUGAACCUGUUGUUCACAGCAGAAUAAGACAGGAUGCCAGGUUUAGGCAAAGUCAGACUCUGGCAAGCAGAGCUAAGAGAAUCACAGUUGCUAUAAACAAUGAUGAUAUAGACCACUCCCAUGUUGUAUUAAUUCCUGCCAAGAAAGUCAACAAUCUUCAAGCGAUCAUAGAAACUAUAGAUGAUGACCUCAAUAACAACAGGGGCAUUCAGUUCAGGGUUGAAUAUUUGGUUGACACAGAUACCGAAGAGGUCUGUACUCACCCUGAAGACAUCAUUGAAGAUCACAUCUAUGUGGCCUGUAAUAAAGGCCGUAGAUAUAUUCCAAAGACAUACUCCAAGGAUGGGCGGAAAAACUUUGUGGUCAUCCCCUCACCGCGUCCUCUACAGAGGCCUAAGUUUAUCUGGGAAAGAUCUAAUCUGAAUGGCUCUCGGGAUAACAAGAGACCUAGUGAAUUUUAUACAUUAAGAACCCUUCCUCCGAUUGGAUCCAAGAACUACAAGGGCUCCCCAGACAACUCUGUAACAUCAAAUCCGGAGUAUGGAAGUAGAAAGAAACCUCAUCAAGCAAAUGGUGCAAUUCACACAAAGCCACAGAAGCACAAGCGUACUCCAGAGAAGAAAGCUAAGCAGACGGACUAUGAUAAAGAUGAUGGUGGUGUCUUUAAGGCCAAGGACACAAACAAGCAUACUAAAGGAGCGAGAGAGGUAGGGGAGACAAAAGAUACAAGGACAGACCUCCCCAUUGAUCAAGUCCCUGCGGAGGAGGUUAAGGAAGAAACCCUUUACGAGGAAGAAAACACAGCCAAGGUUCCCAGUGAAAUAACAUUAACUCACAAGCAGUCUGCCGAGGGGGAGGAAGACGAUGAAAUUUAUGAUCAUCAUGGUGAUCACUAUGAUGAUGAUGAUGAUAAUGAUGAGGAUGAAAAGAUCAAAAGUCAGAAAACACCAAAGGCGCCCCAGAAUUCAAACAAAGAUAAAAAUUCAAAAACUAGUACAAAACCAGACAAAAAGGAAACCACCCAUAAAACCAACAGCAAAACCAACAACAACAACAAUACCAACAACAACAAAACCAACAACAACAACAAUACCAACAAUAAAACAAACCCAAAACCAGCAGACCACUCCCAUGGUGCAAAGGACCCUGCACCCAAAAAACAUUCAGGAACACGUGGAGAGUUCAACAAUGUGUCUCCCCUCCCCGGCAUAGGAAAAAAUGAUACUAACAGGUCCUCCACUCCAGUGGGAAGAAAUGGUUUUGAUUCCCCCACACAGCAAGAAAAAGAUUUGGCUGCAGCAAAAAUACAAGCAAAUUAUCGAGGACAUAAAACUAGGCAAGAACUUGCGAAACAAAAAGAAGGAACAAAGAAGAAUGAUGCUGCAAACAAACCGCCAGAUACCAAAAUGGAUGCUGCAAGCAAACCACCAGACACCAAGAAAGAUGCGGGAAAGAAACCAGAGUCGAAAACAAAGGAGGAUGAAGCAGCAACGAAAAUUCAAGCAGGAUUCCGAGGACACAAAACACGACAGGAUCUUAAGAAACAAAAGGAGAACCAACAGGUAAAGGAUGCUAAAAAAUCUUCCGUUAAUACAGGUAAGACAGCUUCCAAAGGAAACCAGAAAAUGAGUGAAGAAGACAAAGCAGCAACAAAAAUCCAGGCUGGUUUCCGAGGACAUCAGACCCGAAAGGAGCUUGCACAGAAGAAGGUAAUGAAAGAAGACAAGGAGUUAGACCAGGCUGCAACUAAGAUCCAAGCCAAUUUCAGAGGACACAAAACUAGGAAAGAACUGAAAAAGAACCAGCCACCAAAAGACAAUAACAAGACAACAAAGCACUCCAGUGAAGAAGAGCAAGCAGCAACCAAAAUCCAAGCAGGUUUUCGGGGUCAUCAAACUAGAAAACAAUUAAAUCAACAGGUAUGUUAUGACCAAGGAGCACACUCUGCUGUUGUCAUCAAGUCUGUAAAACUUCAGUCAUCAAACCUUCUUGAUUACAGCAAAUUUAACAAUGAGGUAGAGGAUGAAGAAAAUGAAUUGAGGUUAAUUGAAAUUAGGCAGAAAGCUGUUACUGAUUUGCAAGUCUGUCUAAAAGCCAUUUUAAAAAGGGGUUUUAGGUGGUCCUCAGCAUCUACUGGUAAGUGGUCCCUGGGAACAGAACGUGUGUCUAAGAUUGAAUUUGACAAUGUCGAUAUAGCUAAAUUUAAAGCAAAGCAAAUUUUCUUUGGGUUUGUUACCUUUUUUCAAUCAUCAUUUCGAUCAACUUUGUUGAGAAAGGCUGUGGAAGAGAGGGAAGAAAUGAUGAAGGAAAGGGAGAAAGAAAAAAAGAAUGAGAGGAAAAUGAAAGCUAUUGAGGCACCUCCAGAUUUAGAUAUGGGUGUUAGUUGUGACAAAAAUACAAAAAUCAGUGGGAAACAAGAAAAAUUGAAAAUGGCAAAUGACUUUGAAAGUGUGAAAGUUGAUGCAAUAACUAUGAUAGAGUUGUGUUGCAAAGACUGUGUACAUAACAUAAAAAUGAAAGAUAAGGUAAGGAGAGUAGAUGGUCAAAAUAUUCUCCAAUCACAUCUUAAAAUGUUUCUCAGCAGACUAGCUGUUAAAAAUCGUCUUGUUAGGAAAGAAAUGUUGCAGGCAAAGUCUUUUGCACAGGAAGAAGUAUGGAAUAUAUUUCAGUCACUGGAAGAUAGAGAAAUUGCAGCCAAGAAGAUACAAGCAGGGUAUAGGGCAAUGGUAAUAAGAAAAAAAUUAAGUGAGGCAUCCCUAUCAGGCAAUGUAAAAAUUGUUUCAAAAAUUGACAUUGGGAAAACUGAUGCUCUGAAAACUUUACAAAUGCUCUGCAAAAAUUAUGUACACAGGAUGAGAAUGCAUAAUGAGACUAAGAAAAAAGAAAGCCAAAUUAUUCUCCAAUCUAAUUUUAAAAUGUUUCUCACCAGAUUAACUGUGAAAAACUGUCUUGUUAGAAAAGAAAUGUUACAAACAAGGUCUCUUGCACAAGAAGAAGUUUUAAAAAUAUUUCAUUCAAUGCAACAAAGAGAAGUUGCAGCAACAAAAAUACAAACAGGAUAUAGGGGAAUGGUGGCCAGAAAACACCUAUGUCAAGCUUCAACUAACGCAUUCCCGUUAAAUAAAUCCAUGGCCAUAGGGAACUUGCAUCCUAAUCUCAAACCAUUGAAAAUGAAACAUGAGAGCAAAACAGAAAGUCAGCAUAUUCUCCAAUCAAAUUUUAGAAUGUUUAUAACAAGAUUUAAUAUUAAAAACCGCCUUCUUAGGAAAGGAAUGCUGCAUGCAAAGUCUCUUGCUCAGGAAGCAGUUUUGAGUAUAAUCCAAUCAUUGGAAGAGAGAGAAUUUGCUGCAGCUAAGAUACAAGCAGGAUAUAGGGGAAUGGUGGUUAGGAAAAACAUUAGGGCAUCAGUAGUUAAAUCAGAUGAAACAUCAAUUAAAUCACAUUCUGACCUUGUGACUGGAAAUCAAAAUGAUAUUUCAUCUUUUUACAAAGACCAUUCGGCAAAAGAAAAUGACAUUAACGACAGAAAUAGUAUCAGAUUUAGUGUUACCUCUACCAGUAAUCCUAUCUAUGUAGCUGGUGCCAAAAGCACACAGGUUAAUAGCAAUGCAUUACUUGAAGUACAGUCUGCAUGCAGAAGUUACUUUACAAGAAAACUGUUGAAACAGAAAGUUGCAAAAAACAAGGUAUCCAUUGAUUCUAUAGAUUUGACAAACGAAGAUCAAGAUUUGCAAAGCAAUGCUGCUAAGAUUAUACAAGCAGGUUUUAGAGGGCAUUGGUUAAGGAAUAAGUUAGGAAUAACAAAGUCUAAAAAGCUGAAAGGGGAUAAUGAAAAUGUAAGAGAGAUUGUUAAUGGACAUAAAAGGGGUAAAAAUGUGCAAAGGCAUCAUUGGGGACCCCUAACUAUAAAACAGCAUGAACAAGAUGUUGCAGUAACAAAAAUCCAAGCUUGUUACAGGGGCUAUAAAAUAAGGAAGGGGAUUUCAAUGGUCAAAAGUAACAGUUUUUCUAAACAAUGUGUGCCAACAAUAGUUAUUGAAGAUUUUACUGACAGAUCAAAUUCUCAUUUGUCAGAGAUUUUAGUGGGAACAGAGAUAAUGAAUAGAAAAGAUACAAUGGACAUUAAACAAAAGGCAGCAUCAAAAAUUCAAGCUCAUUUCAAAGGAUACAGUUAUAGAAAAAGGGCAAGAUCUGCAAAUCAAGUUUUGGGAAAUGAUUUGAAUGAUCCCAGAUUUAUUCUGUUUCAAAAUAAAGUCACAUUAUUACAGGCUGCUAUUAGAAGUGUCUUAUUAAAAAGCAAGGAGGAUACCUUUGAUGAUGGGUUUUGCACUCCUCCUUCUUUCACCCAUCCACAUUUAGAAUUUGAAAAGCCUACUAUGAGAAGGGUUUCUAGCAGCUACCCAAAUAGACUGUCCAACAAAAGACAGAUGAAUGUUCCUCAAAAUAUUCAGAUAGAUGAAUAUAUCACACUGUUGCAAUCUGCUUGUAAGGGUCUUGUUACAAGAGCUACUAGUUUACUAUGUUUAAAGAAAGGCAUGUUUGAUAUUUCAACUUCAGGUGAUGAUAUUUUGGGGGGAAAAAUAAAGGACAAUGCAAGAAAUGAUAUACAGUCCAGAACUUUUGUCCUAAAUGAUGAAAAAGAACAAACUGCAGUUGAUACAGGACAAUCCAGUGAUUCAUUAACAGUAAACCAUUCUAUUGGUACUGAAAACAGCUCUCAAAAUGUUCAAGUGAAAGUGGUUGAAGACAAUAAAACUAGACCAGUUAAAAUUGUUCAAAGAAGUGUUGUAUUCACUGCACAGGAAGGUGUACCUAGAUCUUUAAGAGUACAAGCUCUAGGUACCCAAUCAGAGUCUGAAAGAAAACCCCGUCCAAAAUCUUCUGAACUGAAGAGAACCUUACCUAUUCUUCCAACACCUUUUGUAUUAAGAUCAAAAACAGAAAUAUUUGGUAAGGAUGGAACCAAGAGAAAAACCAUAUCCAAAGAAAUGUUGGGAUUUUCAUUUUCAAAGCAAACUUAGACAAAACACAGAUCAUUUGGUUGAAAGUGAGUUGGUAGAGUCAAGAGGGCAUGGAAUGAUUGCUAAGAAAGUGAGGAAAGGGGUGAAAGCUAGUGAGACAAAUACAAAUCAAAAUCAAGGUGCUGCAACUGAAGACAUUGUUAGAAUAAAAGAUGUAGGAGCUGUGGAGCAUGUGUGUAGAAGUAAAAAUAAGACUAGUAAACAAGACACUAAAAUUGAAAUUGAGGUUGUUCGUACACCACCAUGGGAGAACAAAUGGUUGGGUCUAAAAUUUCUGGUACCAGUAAUGGUGAUGUUGCAAUCCCUGAUAGAUUAGUUGAGAAGGUCGGCAGAAUUGAUGAUGGAAAAAAGUUGAUAAUCCUCUUGAAAAUUUAUAUAAGAUUCAAGAAAAAGAGUGGAUUAUGCAGGGGGUCUGGAGUUAGUAGUGUUGUAAAGGGGGAUAGGGAUUUUAAAGCAGUAAAGGUUAACUCUAUUAGAGGGGCGAAAGGGUCUAUAAUCCCAAAACCAAUCCAAUCUGAUGACAAGAAAAUCCCAAACAAAAAAGAAAACAAGCAUGGCCCGAGUGUUAAUGACAGUCGCUAUGAAAUGUAAAUUUUCGAUAGAGAAGAAGUGUCUGAAUUAUUUCACUAUCAGUAACAGCUUUCCACAGGCAUUUCAUUCUACAUUUUCUUUUUAACAAUAAUGCAGUUUGAUUUAUUUUCUUUGAAAAAUUUCAACGCUUUGAGAUGGUUUGAUGACAAAAAACACACCCCUUUUUGUGUCAAAUUGAAAUGUUUAUGCACAUGCAAACUUAACAAAUUACUGAAUUCCUCACGCUCCAAAAACAAAAAAACAAAGACAGAAAAUGUAUUAUUUUUAUUUGUGUCCAUUUUGUAUAUUGCAUGAGUGUGCAUUUUACCUUUAUGCAUUUAGUUAUUUCGAUGCUUUAUAAAUAAAAUAGAGAAUUUCUUACAAACCUUGACUAUACUUUUCAGAAGCAAUCAUGAUCUAAGGAAGGUAAUAAAAUUGGAAUUACUGCAGUCCGAUUCUUGGAUAGAUUGGCAAUGAAAUGAGGUGACAGGCGGAUUUUCAUUGGUUGCUGGGACUCGAUCACCAUGACUUCCAGGGAUUUACAUUGUUUUCUUACUAACCUUACUCAGUUAACUAUUAUUGCAUGAUUUGUAUUAGUGUACAAAAGGAAUUUAUUUAUGACAUUGAUUUUGGAGUGUCAGAGUAUUAUUUUGGUGAGGCCUCGGACAAAGAUAGAUUCAACAUACCCGAAAAACGAAAAUCCAGAUUGUAGCACUGUGUAGAUAUAACUUUACUGAUCAUAAUUACAUGUUUCCUAACAAGUAUGUAGAUAUAAUCAUUAUACAGAAUAUUUAAUGUGAACUGUGAUAUGUAUAUAGUUCUUGUGUUUUGGUUGGAUCACAAAUGCUCAACCUGAUGUUCUAUUUUUAUCGAUAUUUUCCAUGUAUUGCAUACCUAUGUAUUCGCAUCACCCACCCAUAAUAUCUAUCCUUAUGUUGUUUUCUGAGAAGAAAAAAACGUUUAUUAUUAAAUUUUUUAUGUUUUCUUGUAAAUUUUGAAAAAAAAAUAUUCACUAUUUUUUUUUUUUAUUUGGUCAUAUGGAUGGAGAAUUUCUACAUUUAAUUUGAAAACCAUUCUAUAUUUCAAAACCCCAUAUAUUUCAUGUACAUCCAUGUAGACUAUUAAUCAGAUUUCAGAGCAGUGAACUUCAGCUUUUUUAAAAGAAAAAAAAAUGGCUUUCUUUUACUGAGUAUUACUGUGUUGAUAGAUAUAUAUAAACCUAUUGAAAAUAAAUUCUGAAAGAGGGAGAAUACCAAAUUCCAUCCAAACAUUCCGUCCACUUUAUUUUUGAAGAUUUUUGUUGUCUGUGAUAUCGAUUCUUUUAUCACAUUAUUAUAUUUUUACACACAACAGUUUCAGUAUUUAUUAUCCAGACCCUAUAACCCACACAUUAUUUUGUGACUGUAGAUUUUUCUCCGAUGGCUUCUUACUUGUGGUUUUUAUAUUUAGAGGAUUUUGGCUCUAUGCACAGAAGGACAAUCAAGAUUAGAAAGUCCCCAUGUGUUUUCUUCUUAACCUAUACAUGUAUAUGAAUGUAUAUAUAAUUUGUAAAGAAACUGAUAAAAGAUGUAUUUAUUUCUGUAUCUCUCUGAAUGUAUGAUUAAAAUGGUACAAUGUUACGUUAUAAAGAUUCUAUUGUCAAGUAUUGUUCCUCUGAAAUAAAAUUUGAUAUUUGA